AACGACGCUGGCGGCAGGCUUAACACAUGCAAGUCGAACGGGCGUAGCAAUACGUCAGUGGCAGACGGGUGAGUAACACGUGGGAACCUUCCUAGGGGUACGGAACAACUCAGGGAAACUUGAGCUAAUACCGUAUACGUCCGUGAGGAGAAAGAUUUAUCGCCCUUAGACGGGCCCGCGUCGGAUUAGCUAGUUGGUGGGGUAACGGCCUACCAAGGCGACGAUCCGUAGCUGAUCUUAGAGGAUGAUCAGCCACACUGGGAUUGAGACACGGCCCAGACUCCUACGGGAGGCAGCAGUGGGGAAUCUUGGACAAUGGGCGCAAGCCUGAUCCAGCCAUGCCGCGUGAGUGAAGAAGGUCUUCGGAUUGUAAAGCUCUUUUGCCAGGGACGAUAAUGACGGUACCUGGAGAAUAAGCCCCGGCAAACUUCGUG
This 434-nucleotide ribosomal RNA is filed under the name uncultured bacterium. RNAcentral describes it as "bacterial SSU rRNA". It matches the Rfam family "Bacterial small subunit ribosomal RNA", at positions 33 to 507 of the family's 1533-position model. The record is from RNAcentral.